GUUCAAAGUAAGCUUUAAACUGUGACUUGAGUUUCUGGCACAGAAAUAUUAAAACAGUUGUCCCUAGAAGUUCAUAAGAUGGUUGGACUAUACCAGAGAUGAUUGGUUACUACAGCGAAGCCACUCUACCUAUAGCUCAAAUUCAAACGUUCAGCGAAGAACCCCUCUCCGUGGAAAAACUCGUCAGCAGUCCGGAUCUAACGAUCUCCACUGACUUUAUCAAUAAAUCAACGGAUUCUGAAGCAAUGUACACUUCAAAAGUAGCGUUUACAAAUCACGCCCGUACGCAUGGCAAACAAACUGAAGAUCCCUACAGGUGUAACAUUUCGCACCCUUGCUUCAAUAGUGUCACAACUCAAAAAUCCUCUUUUUUCAGGAAACGCGAAAAACUGUUUCCGUCGCUGAUAUAAUUAUUUUGGGCUUGAAGGUCUUGACAAAAUGUGAGAUAGUCCUUCAAAAUCGAAUUUCAAAUGUUAUUUGGUAUUCUUCGCUAUUUGAUAUUCCGUAGUCAUGAAAAUUAGCUAAUUUUCCAAGUUAUAACGGUUUUCAUGAUUAAUCCAUGCUUUGGACGCUUCAAUAUUUUGAGUUGUUACGGUAUUGAUGGAAAUAUUUUGACAUGUCACUCUCUUGAUGACUACAACAACCACAAGCUCCAGUGAGUACUGCGUUUUAUUUUGAGUCGAUACCUUAUUGUAGAUUCGAUCUUGCUUUACUAUAAAAAAAGUGGAAAAUUGGGGAAAAAAGAAGAACAAUUUCAAACGUAAAAAAACUCUUGUUUAAUAACGAAAAUUAUACCUUCUUGUAUUUAAUAAGUAAAUCACAAUUCUUAAUUACCUUUUUUAACAUUAGUAGAGGCAAGACUAUAAUCAGAUUUAUAAUCUGAUCUCAAAAAUCACAGAUAAAUUCAAAUAGAACUAGGUAUGAG
Long non-coding RNA from Diorhabda sublineata, 925 nucleotides. RefSeq lists it as uncharacterized. The transcript has 2 exons. NCBI's taxonomy places the organism in Eukaryota, Metazoa, Arthropoda, Insecta, Coleoptera, Chrysomelidae. The record is from RefSeq and is a predicted model, not a curated record.